RNAcentral lists this ribosomal RNA (147 nucleotides) under uncultured bacterium. RNAcentral's name for it is "partial 16S ribosomal RNA". It matches the Rfam family "Bacterial small subunit ribosomal RNA", at positions 332 to 478 of the family's 1533-position model. The record is from RNAcentral.
UCCUAUCCUACGGGAGGCAGCAGUAAGGAAUAUUGGUCAAUGGGCGCAAGCCCGACCCAGCCAUGCCGCGUGCAGGAAGACGGCCGUAUGGGUUGUAAACUGCUUUUGUCGGGGAAUAAACCCUUGUAGCGAACGAGGAUGACGUAC